AGCGAACGCUGGCGGCAGGCUUAACACAUGCAAGUCGAGCGCCCCGCAAGGGGAGCGGCAGACGGGAGAGUAACACGUGGGAACAUACCUUUUGGUUCGGAACAACUGAGGGAAACUUCAGCUAAUACCGGAUAAGCCCUUACGGGGAAAGAUUUAUCGCCGAAAGAUUGGCCCGCGUCUGAUUAGCUAGUUGGUGAGGUAACGGCUCACCAAGGCGACGAUCAGUAGCUGGUCUGAGAGGAUGAUCAGCCUCACUGGGACUGAGACACGGCCCAGACUCCUACGGGAGGCAGCAGUGGGGAAUAUUGGACAAUGGGGGCAACCCUGAUCCAGCCAUGCCGCGUGAGUGAUGAAGGCCUUAGGGUUGUAAAGCUCUUUUGCCCGGGAAGAUAAUGACGGUACCGGGAGAAUAAGCCCCGGCUAACUUCGU
This 430-nucleotide ribosomal RNA is filed under the name uncultured bacterium. RNAcentral describes it as "partial 16S ribosomal RNA". It matches the Rfam family "Bacterial small subunit ribosomal RNA", at positions 29 to 506 of the family's 1533-position model. The record is from RNAcentral.